CCCCUAGUAACUGCGAGUGAAGCGGGAAAAGCUCAAAUUUAAAAUCUGGCAGUCUCUGGCUGUCCGAGUUGUAAUCUAGAGAAGUGUUAUCCGCGCUGGACCAUGUACAAGUCUCCUGGAACGGAGCGUCAUAGAGGGUGAGAAUCCCGUCUUUGACAUGGACUACCAGGGCUUUGUGAUGCGCUCUCAAAGAGUCGAGUUGUUUGGGAAUGCAGCUCAAAAUGGGUGGUAAAUUCCAUCUAAAGCUAAAUAUUGGCGAGAGACCGAUAGCGAACAAGUACCGUGAGGGAAAGAUGAAAAGAACUUUGGAAAGAGAGUUAAACAGUACGUGAAAUUGUUGAAAGGGAAACGCUUGAAGUCAGUCGCAUUGGCCAGGGAUCAACCUUACAUUUGUUGGGUGUACUUUCUGGUCAAUGGGUCAGCAUCAAUUUUGACUGUUGGAAAAAGGUCAGGGGAAUGUAGCAUCUUCGGAUGUGUUAUAGCCCUUGGUUGUAUACAGCAGUUGGGAUUGAGGAACUCAGCACGCCGCAAGGCCGGGUUUUUAACCACGUACGUGCUUAGGAUGCUGGCAUAAUGGCUUUAAUCGACCCGUCUUGAAACACGGACCAAGGAGUCUAACAUGCCUGCGAGUGUUUGGGUGGAAAACCCAUGCGCGUAAUGAAAGUGAAAGUUGAGAUCUCUGUCGUGGAGAGCAUCGACGCCCGGACCAGACCUUUUGUGACGGUCCCGCGGUAGAGCAUGUAUGUUGGGACCCGAAAGAUGGUGAACUAUGCCUGAAUAGGGUGAAGCCAGAGGAAACUCUGGUGGAGGCUCGUAGCGAUUCUGACGUGCAAAUCGAUCGUCGAAUUUGGG
Molecule: ribosomal RNA, 852 nt
Filed under: Melanoleuca chifengense
Lineage: Eukaryota; Fungi; Basidiomycota; Agaricomycetes; Agaricales; Pluteaceae
Description: partial large subunit ribosomal RNA
Rfam family: Eukaryotic large subunit ribosomal RNA
Source: RNAcentral